AUACUAAUGAAUAGAAUAGCAAAUACAGAAAAAUUGUAAAUUACGCGUUGAGAAGAGGUUUGGCAGACGAUAAAGGGAAGGGUUAUGUUCCGUUAUGAGGUUGGGAACCCUAAACAUUUUAAUUUCAUUAUGGCUAUACAGACCAGUCUGACGACUUGAUAUAUAUGAUUUUUACUCGAUGUUAUUUUAUACAAAUUAGAUAUCACAAAUUCUGAUGAUGGGAUUACCUAGCUAACUAAUUUAAGAAAACGCCCCUAGCGUCAAAUCGUAGACACAGAAAGCUGGUUUAAUUUUUGUGUUUUGCGACGCGCCGCGCACUUUCUAAAUCUAUGUUUGCGUCAAAUACAUAUUUUUAAGCUAAAUACAUUCAUUCCAUCAUAUUGAACGCGGAUUAUUUUUAAAGCGAAUGACAUAAUUUUAUUAAUCAGCUUCGACAAUAGUGUGAUCUCAUUUUUAUAAUUUACACAAUACCUAAUAUAAAAAUAUAGCAAAACUGGCACAUUCACUAUCGCAAUACUAGCAAGCACAAGCGCAACCAUCCAAAUAGUUUUACAUUUAAAUUAAAAAAUGCAAGAUGUUUGAAUCUUAACUAUUGUGUGCGUGUUUAAGUACCUUAAAGUAUUACAUUACAAGAUGUAUCUCGUCUUCACCAGCGUUUUGGGAGCGGCAUUCACUUUUUACAUGGCGGCGUUUGCAUGGCAUCUCCUCUUGGAUCAUCUACCGAAUGUCGCUUUGCCGACUGAAUUGUCGAAGGUCGGCGUCGCCGAGCCUUCACCUAUUGUGUACAUUAUACACAAUCCGAACCAAAUGCCUCCGAACUAAUAAUCCAGGCACCUAACGUAGACUGGUCUUAAGAGUGUCCUGCUGCUCAUAUAGACGAGAGGAUGAACGCAGAGGUGUUUAAGAGGCAUAGGAACCUCGACAUAACAAUUAUUAAUUUAAGUUAUGAAGAUCUGUAUUCCCAAUAUGGACUUUUGACUGGAAUAAACAAUUUUUUUUGCCACUAGACCACCACCGGUUCAAUGUAUAUAAACCAUUAUUAAUGGGCUUAAGCACAUACAUAAGAAAGAAGACCUAUUAUUUAACAAUUUUGUAUAUAGGUCAAUAAAACGUUACCUAAAUGAAUUAUGUGUUUUCUUUAGCCAGGAGUAAGUACCUAUAUACAUGGAUAAGUCAAGAGAGUUAGCGAUAGAGAACUUCGCGAGAUAACUUCGCGACAAAAGUUAGGUAUUGUGUAAAAAGUCGAAAAUUAUUUUAGCAGUCCUAUCUUUGCACCUAAUUACUGAUUACUUUGCACAAAAUUAGUAGAUACUCUAACGUGCUUUAUGCUACAUCUUCUCGGCAUGUGACAUGACUAUUUUAUGUAUGCUGAAUCAUUAAUAUGAUUAGAUUAGAUGCUAACUACUUCGGUUAUGUGCUGCUCACACUGCUGUCAUGUUUGUAAUUAUAAACAUGUGAUUAUAAACCACAGUUCUGAUAAAACAAUAGCUAAUAAUGCGUAUAAGUAGUAUUUAAUGUCCAGUGUGAGCUAUAUAAGAUAUAAAAGAUACCUAUACCUACCUACCUAGGUAGCUAGGACUGAAAUAAAGUUCCUGUACUUUCGUCAAAAUUAAAGCUUUAUAUAUACUUAAUAGAAAAUAGUUGCCACUAAAUUAUACACAAAAAACAUACCUAUUGAUUUUUUAAUUAGGAUGUAAUAAUCUUAAUCACCGAGUUAUUAUUGUCCGUUCCGUGUGCGUAACACUACUAGAACUAAAUACGGCUGUACUUAGUUCUAGUUGGAAAGGUGGAAAGUUAUAUAUAGGUAUUAUUCUAUGCCGUGAACGUGUAAUACCUAAUCACUCUAUAGGUAAUAAUCUCAAGUAUUUGUCCUAAAAUGCACAAUAACUAUAGCUAUAAUAUCUACCAAUAGCUUUAUUUAUUGGAUGCCAAGCCUAUGUAAACGUAUUGUUACGAAAUGAUUAUCAUAAACAGAACUGUAAAAUAGUUUUGUUCAAUCUCAAUUCUACGAGUGCGUUCACGUAACCAGAUCAACACGUUCAAUAAAAAUGGCAGGUGGCAUGUUAUCAGCGGUAACUUUGGUAGUCUGGACUUUGAUUUGGGUCACAAAGAAGCUGUCAGAGCUGCCCGACCCCCCCAUUUUGACCACCGAAGCUGUACCCUAUAACCGACAUGAUCCUAUGCAAAACAUGCAAAAUAUGCAAAACAUGAAAAACAUGCCAAAUAUGCCAAAUAUGCAAAACAUGCAUAUGCAGGGAUAAUUCUAAAUAAACGGGGAACAGUGCGGUGCUUUGAUGGAAAGUUGGAAAAAAAACGAUAUUUUAACAGUUUCGGACAAACAAAGAAAACUAAAGACAAUGAGUUUGUGUAACCAAAGAACUUACAUUUCCAUGCUAUUUCUAGCCUACCUUAUACAAAGGGGUAGAGAAGCGUUAUAAAGUCGGGUACACGUUGUGGGACAAGUAUUAAAAUUUUUUCGUUUCUCUAUCUUGUAUGAAAAAAGCGAAAAAUAUUUAAAUGCCUAUAGUUUUUUCUGUUUUUGCGUUGACAUCUAUCCUAGUUCGACGAUAGUGUUUAUAAGGCUUAGGAUAUGAAGCACGCACAUUUUGUGAUUUUUUGGUAGGUAGAAUAGUCAUUGAAACAUAAAACAUUCAGAAGAAAUACUAGUAGUUGCAUUACAUCAUAGCAAUUUAAAGCACGCCUACCGCGAAUGCCGAAUUACAUAUCCCGUGAGGUGAUUACGAUAUGGUAAUAAUAUUUGUUGUAAGUAAUAGUAUGGUAAUAUUUGUUGUAUUGUGUAAUAAUUUUGUUUAAAUAAUAUUUUGUCAGGCAAAUUUAUACGAAGCGGAGUGGUCGGACCUAUAGCCAUACUGCAUUGAGAACAAUAAUUUGGUAAACUUGUUUUAUUCCAAUAUCGGUGGCUACACUUUGCUGGCGACACGGUCGCCAGCAAAGUGCAGUUGUGCGAGAACUUUUUAUAGGAACCUUAUUUGUACAUUAUAAAAGGGACGUUCAAAUAGACAUUAUUACUGUUUAUAUAAGACAGGUAGACAGACGUCAGGCCAUCUCUAUUUUAGGUUGAAAAUGUUGUAUUAUUGUGCUGUUGUGGAAGUGUGUAUGUAUGAUUAUUUAUGUUAAGUGUAAAUAUAUUGUAAAGUUGUAAAUAUGAAAUAAAAAUGAUUGAAAAGAAACCAUUA
This is a long non-coding RNA of Plodia interpunctella (Indianmeal moth), 3197 nucleotides long. RefSeq lists it as uncharacterized. The record is from RefSeq and is a predicted model, not a curated record. The transcript has 4 exons. NCBI's taxonomy places the organism in Eukaryota, Metazoa, Arthropoda, Insecta, Lepidoptera, Pyralidae.